CAUCGUCUGUACCGAGCACCGCGCGACCGAGGCGAUGCUCCGCGACUCGGGGCUGCGAUGGAACGCGCUGCGCGACUCCCAGUACGCGGAGGCGGUGGCCUACUACAUCGCUCCAGGCGCCGUCGCCAUGGGCAGCAUGGUGGGCGCCUGGGGUGAGGGCACGGUCGG
RNAcentral lists this unclassified non-coding RNA (168 nucleotides) under plant metagenome. Its description in RNAcentral is "partial contains 5.8S ribosomal RNA, internal transcribed spacer 2, and large subunit ribosomal RNA". The record is from RNAcentral.